UACGAAGGUGGCAAGCGUUGUUCGGAUUUACUGGGCGUACAGGGAGCGUAGGCGGUUGGAUAAGCCCUCCGUGAAAUCUCCAGGCUUAACCUGGAAAGUGCAGAGGGGACUGUUCAGCUAGAGGAUGGGAGAGGAGCGCGGAAUUCCCGGUGUAGCGGUGAAAUGCGUAGAGAUCGGGAGGAAGGCCGGUGGCGAAGGCGGCGCUCUGGAACAUUUCUGACGCUGAGGCUCGAAAGCGUGGGGAGUAAACGGG
Molecule: ribosomal RNA, 253 nt
Filed under: uncultured bacterium
Lineage: Bacteria
Description: partial 16S ribosomal RNA
Rfam family: Bacterial small subunit ribosomal RNA
Source: RNAcentral